RNAcentral lists this ribosomal RNA (485 nucleotides) under uncultured bacterium. Its description in RNAcentral is "bacterial SSU rRNA". It matches the Rfam family "Bacterial small subunit ribosomal RNA", at positions 31 to 507 of the family's 1533-position model. The record is from RNAcentral.
GAACGCUAGCUACAGGCUUAACACAUGCAAGUCGAGGGGCAGCAUGAAGUUUGCUUGCAAACUUUGAUGGCGACCGGCGGAUGGGUGAGUAACGCGUAUCCAACCUCGCCCCUUCCCGGGCACAGCCCUUGGAAACGAGGAUUAACUCCCGAUGGUGUCAGUCAGGCGCAUGCCUUUCUGACCAAAUGUUUAAGGAAGGGGAUAGGCUCGCGUGACAUUAGCUGGAUGGCGGGGUAACGGCCCACCAUGGCUACGAUGUCUAGGGGUUCUGAGAGGAAGGUCCCCCACACUGGAACUGAGACACGGUCCAGACUCCUACGGGAGGCAGCAGUGAGGAAUAUUGGUCAAUGGUCUGACGACUGAACCAGCCAUGCCGCGUGAAGGUCACGGCCCUAUGGGUCUUAAACUUCUUUUGUAAGGGAGCAAUAAGUCUCACGUGUGGGAUGAUGAGAGUACCUUACGAAUAAGCAUCGGCUAACUCCGUG